RNAcentral lists this ribosomal RNA (2141 nucleotides) under human gut metagenome. RNAcentral describes it as "bacterial LSU rRNA". It matches the Rfam family "Bacterial large subunit ribosomal RNA", at positions 702 to 2878 of the family's 2925-position model. The record is from RNAcentral.
AGUGGUUGUAGACGCGAAACCUUGCGAUCUACCCUUGAGCAGGUUGAAGGUUGGGUAAAACCAACUGGAGGACCGAACGAAUAAGCGUUGAAAAGCUUCUCGAUGACUUGAGGGUAGGGGUGAAAGGCUAAUCAAGCUGGGAAAUAGCUCGUACUCCCCGAAAUGCCUUUUGGGGCAGCGUUGUAAUAAAGAGUCUACUGGAGGUAGAGCUACUGAUUGGAUGCGGGGGCUUCACCGCCUACCAAAUCCUGACAAACUCCGAAUGCCAGUAGUAUGAUUUACAGCAGUGAGCGACCGGGUGCUAAUGUCCGGUUACGAGAGUGGAACAACACAGACCAGCAACUAAGGUCCCGAAGAGUAUACUAAGUUGAUCUAACGAUGUUUUGCUGCAGAGACAGCUAGGAUGUUAGCUUGGAAGCAGCUAUUCAUUCAAAGAGUGCGUAACAGCUCACUAGUCGAGCGACAGAGCGUGGAUAAUAAACGGGCAUCAAGCAUAUCACCGAAGUUCUGGGCGCGAGAGCGCGGUAGGGGAGCAUUCCAUUCAGCGUCGAAGCAGUUUCGUGAGGAAUUGUGGAGCGUAUGGAAAAGCAAAUGUAGGCAUGAGUAACGAUAAUGCGGGAGAGUAACCCGCACACCGCAAGACCAAGGUUUCCUGAUCAACGCUAAUCGGAUCAGGGUUAGUCGGGUCCUAAGGGUAAGCCGAACGGCGAUCUCGAUGGAUAAUCGGUUAAUAUUCCGAUACUAACAUAUACCUCGAUGGAGAGACGAAGGAACGUAAGUGCCGCCACCUGACGGAAUAGGUGGUUAAAGGGCGUAGGUAUAGGGGCAGAUUAAGAGUUAGUCCUUGCUGAAACCUGACAGUACAGAGAGCCUACGGGCAAUUUGAUAGAGCACCCAAGUCGACUUCCGAGAAAAUCUUCUAAGUUAUAGUAUAUGUUACCCGUACCGUAAACCGACACAGGUGGUCGAGGAGAGUAUCCUAAGGUGCUCGAGUGAAUCACGGUUAAGGAACUAGGCAAAUUAACCCCGUAACUUCGGGAAAAGGGGUCCCUAUGAAAGUAGGGCGCAGCGAAGAGGUCCAGGCGACUGUUUAUCAAAAACACAGGGCUCUGCAAAUUCGAAAGAAGACGUAUAGGGCCUGACACCUGCCCGGUGCUGGAAGGUUAAGAGGGGAUGUCAUCGCAAGAGAAGCAUUGAAUCGAAGCCCCAGUAAACGGCGGCCGUAACUAUAACGGUCCUAAGGUAGCGAAAUUCCUUGUCGGGUAAGUUCCGACCUGCACGAAUGGUGUAACGAUCUGGACACUGUCUCAACCGUGAGCUCGGUGAAAUUGUAGUCCCGGUGAUGAUGCCGGGUACCCGCAACGGGACGAAAAGACCCCGUGAACCUUUACUAUAGCUUAACGCUGAAUUUGGGUACACAAUGUGUAGGAUAGGCCGGAGGCUUUGAAGCGGGCACGCCAGUGUUCGUGGAGCCGACGUUGAAAUACGGCCCUUUGUGUAUUUGAGUUCUAACCCUGCGAAGGGGACACCGUUUGGUGGGUAGUUUGACUGGGGUGGUCGCCUCCAAAAGCGUAACGGAGGCUUCCCAAGGUACCCUCAGCACGAAUGGUAACCGUGCGCGGAGUGCAAUAGCAUAAGGGUGCUUGACUGUGAGACAUACAAGUCGACCAGGUACGAAAGUAGGGUAUAGUGAUCCGGUGGUUCUGCGUGGACUGGCCAUCGCUCAAAGGAUAAAAGGUACUCCGGGGAUAACAGGCUGAUCGCCGCCAAGAGCUCAUAUCGACGCGGCGGUUUGGCACCUCGAUGUCGGCUCGUCACAUCCUGGGGCUGGAGAAGGUCCCAAGGGUUCGGCUGUUCGCCGAUUAAAGUGGCACGCGAGCUGGGUUCAGAACGUCGUGAGACAGUUCGGUCUCUAUCUGUUGCGGGCGUAGGAAGAUUGAGGGGUCCUGACUUUAGUACGAGAGGACCGAGUUGGACGAACCUCCGGUGUAUCGGUUAUGCUGCCAAGUGUACUGCCGAGUAGCCGCGUUCGGUCUGGAUAAGCGCUGAAAGCAUCUAAGCGCGAAGCCAUCCCCAAGAUAAGUCUUCCCUUGAGGGGCGUAGGAGACUACUACGUUGAUAGGCUGCAGGUGUAAAGACAG